Molecule: small nuclear RNA, 105 nt
Organism: Ochotona curzoniae (black-lipped pika)
Lineage: Eukaryota; Metazoa; Chordata; Mammalia; Lagomorpha; Ochotonidae
Source: RefSeq, a predicted model, not a curated record
GUGCUCACUUCGGCAGCAAAUAUACUAAAAUUGGAACGAUACAGAGAAGAUUAGCAUGGCCCCUGCGCAAGGAGGACACAUAAAAAUUAAAACAAAAACUUUGCU